This 560-nucleotide ribosomal RNA is filed under the name Cutibacterium acnes. RNAcentral's name for it is "partial 16S ribosomal RNA". The stretch from base 194 to 560 matches the Rfam family "Bacterial large subunit ribosomal RNA", at positions 1 to 327 of the family's 2925-position model. The record is from RNAcentral. Lineage: Bacteria; Bacillati; Actinomycetota; Actinomycetes; Propionibacteriales; Propionibacteriaceae.
ACGGUGCCUUGCUGUUUGGAUUAGUUUGUUUAGUUUUGAGCGAUUUGUUCUUUCGGAAAUCUGUUCUUUGGUGGCCUGUGCGGUGCUGUGUUGCGUGCGUGUGUGCGUGGUGUGGUGUUCGUGUGGUGGUUGAGAACUGUAUAGUGGAUGCGAGUAUCUUUAUUGUUGUAUGUGUUUGUGCGACGUGGUGUUGUGCAAAGUUGUGUAGUGCGAUCGGUGGAUGCCUUGGCACCAAGAGCCGAUGAAGGACGUUGUGACCUGCGAUAAGCCCUGGGGAGUUGGUGAGCGAGCUGUGAUCCGGGGGUGUCCGAAUGGGGAAACCUGGAAUGUCCGGAGUAGUGUCCGGUGGCCCUGCCCUGAAUGUAUAGGGGUGUGGGUGGUAACGCGGGGAAGUGAAACAUCUUAGUACCCGUAGGAAGAGAAUUCAAGUGUGAGUCCAUAAAUAGAGCUGAAAUCACAAACAACGUUCUAUCCUGUAACAAACGAGUGAGACAGUACCUCUGUGGUCAUGCCUUCUACACGUCCACAUAUUCUGGGAUUAAUCGAGCCAACAACCUGUC